RNAcentral lists this non-coding RNA (22 nucleotides) under Arabidopsis thaliana (thale cress). The record is from RNAcentral. Lineage: Eukaryota; Viridiplantae; Streptophyta; Magnoliopsida; Brassicales; Brassicaceae.
CAAUAUCUAAAGGAAUAAUCUA